This 203-nucleotide long non-coding RNA is filed under the name Gallus gallus (chicken). Lineage: Eukaryota; Metazoa; Chordata; Aves; Galliformes; Phasianidae. The record is from RNAcentral.
CUCCAGGCUCAUGUUUAGUACACACUGGUCCAGCCUUCCAUGCCUCUGUAUCCCCACAGUCACAAAAUCCACCUCCAGUGGAGCUAUGCAUCUUGUACCGAUGAUUCCUAUGAAUGCUAUUCUGGAAGCAGUCCAUACAGAGUACACAAGUUGGAUCAACUGCACAGUCUCUGCAAGAGUACGUUGUCUCCCCUCCUUUGAAC